Molecule: ribosomal RNA, 807 nt
Filed under: uncultured bacterium
Lineage: Bacteria
Description: bacterial SSU rRNA
Rfam family: Bacterial small subunit ribosomal RNA
Source: RNAcentral
AGAGUUUGAUCCUGGCUCAGAACGAACGCUGGCGGCGUGCCUAACACAUGCAAGUCGAACGCGAAAGUCCUUCGGGAUGAGUAAAGUGGCGCACGGGUGAGUAACACGUAGGUGACCUGCCUUUUAGAGGGGAAUAACCRGAUGAAAAUUUGGCUAAUGCCGCAUACGAAGUACAAAUCUAAAAGUAGUACUUGAAAGGAUGCCUCUGUAUAUGCAUCCACUAAAAGAUGGGCCUGCGGAACAUUAGCUAGUUGGUGGGGUAAAGGCCUACCAAGGCAACGAUGUUUAUCCGGUCUGAGAGGAUGAUCGGACACACUGGAACUGAGACACGGUCCAGACYCCUACGGGAGGCAGCAGUGGGGAAUAUUGCGCAAUGGGGGAAACCCUGACGCAGCAACGCCGCGUGAGUGAGGAAGGACUUCGGUCUGUAAAGCUCUGUUAAUGUGGAAAAAUGGUAGCUGGUCUAAUAGGCCGGCUAUUUGAUGGUACACAUAGAGGAAGCACCGGCUAACUUCGUGCCAGCAGCCGCGGUAAUACGAAGGGUGCAAGCGUUGUUCGGAUUUAUUGGGCGUAAAGCGCGCGUAGGCGGACCUGUAAGUCAGAUGUGAAAUCUCGGGGCUCAACCCCGAAACUGCGUCUGAAACUGCAGGUCUAGAAUCUUGGAGGGGGAAGGGGAAUUUCGCAUGUAGGGGUAAAAUCCGUAGAUAUGCGAAGGAACACCAGAGGCGAAGGCGCCUUCCUGGACAAGUAUUGACGCUGAGGCGCGAAAGCGUGGGGAKCAAACAGGAUUAGAUACCCUGGUAGUCC